GGCCCUACAUGUGGCACAGUGGUUUGAGUGUUGGACUAUGAUUCUGGAGACCAGGGUUAGAUUCCCAGCUUGGCCA
This is a non-coding RNA of Phrynosoma platyrhinos (Desert horned lizard), 76 nucleotides long. Lineage: Eukaryota; Metazoa; Chordata; Lepidosauria; Squamata; Phrynosomatidae. The record is from the annotation of a GenBank genome assembly.